RNAcentral lists this ribosomal RNA (521 nucleotides) under uncultured bacterium. Its description in RNAcentral is "bacterial SSU rRNA". It matches the Rfam family "Bacterial small subunit ribosomal RNA", at positions 8 to 526 of the family's 1533-position model. The record is from RNAcentral.
AGAGUUUGAUCAUGGCUCAGAACGAACGCUGGCGGCAUGCCUUACACAUGCAAGUCGAACGGUAACGCGGGGCAACCUGGCGACGAGUGGCGAACGGGUGAGUAAUGCAUCGGAACGUGCCCAGUAGUGGGGGAUAGCCCGGCGAAAGCCGGAUUAAUACCGCAUACGACCUACGGGUGAAAGCGGGGGACCGUAAGGCCUCGCGCUAUUGGAGCGGCCGAUGUCAGAUUAGGUAGUUGGUGAGGUAAAGGCUCACCAAGCCGACGAUCUGUAGCUGGUCUGAGAGGACGACCAGCCACACUGGGACUGAGACACGGCCCAGACUCCUACGGGAGGCAGCAGUGGGGAAUUUUGGACAAUGGGCGCAAGCCUGAUCCAGCCAUGCCGCGUGCGGGAAGAAGGCCUUCGGGUUGUAAACCGCUUUUGUCAGGGAAGAAACGCUCUGGGCUAAUACCCCAGGGUGAUGACGGUACCUGAAGAAUAAGCACCGGCUAACUACGUGCCAGCCGCCGCGGUAAUUC